AUGACAAUACCAAUUCGUAAAUCUCACCCCUUAUUUAAAAUUCUAAAUGGAGCAGUAGUCGAUUUACCAGCCCCAGCCAAUAUUUCUACACUUUGAAAUUUUGGGUCUCUCUUAGGUUUAUGUUUAGUAAUCCAAAUUGUUACUGGGCUCUUUUUAGCUAUACACUAUACAGCCCACGUAGACCUUGCAUUUUCCAGUGUAGCUCACAUUUGCCGAGAUGUUAAUUAUGGUUGACUCCUACGAACUCUCCACGCCAAUGGUGCCUCCUUCUUCUUUAUUUGCUUAUAUAUGCACACAGGACGAGGUAUUUAUUAUGGUUCCUUCCUUUACCUUCACGCCUGAUCAGUAGGAGUUGUAAUUCUACUUCUCGUGAUGGCAACUGCCUUCCUUGGUUAUGUCCUUCCCUGAGGUCAGAUAUCCUUCUGAGGAGCAACUGUCAUUACUAACCUUUUCUCGGCCAUCCCUUAUAUUGGGCCAGAUUUAGUCCAAUGAAUUUGAGGAGGUUUCGCAGUAGAUAACGCAACACUAACACGCUUCUUUACCUUUCACUUUCUGUUCCCAUUCAUUGUAGCAGCAGCUACAAUCAUUCACAUUCUUUUUAUUCACCAAACAGGUUCUAACAAUCCCCUAGGAAUCGUUAGAAAUGUAGAUAAAGUACCAUUCCAUCCUUAUUUUACAUUCAAAGACAUCACCGGAUUUAUCGUAAUGCUAACUGCCCUUAUUUUAUUAACUUUACUAAACCCUUAUCUUUUAGGAGACCCAGACAAUUUUAUUCCCGCUAACCCUUUAGUUACCCCGGCCCAUAUCCAGCCCGAAUGGUAUUUUUUAUUUGCAUAUGCCAUCUUGCGAUCUAUUCCUAAUAAGUUAGGGGGAGUAAUUGCCUUGGUUAUAUCUAUCUUGAUUCUUCUCAUCUUACCUUUUACACAUGCAGCUAAAUUUCGGAGCCUUACAUUUUACCCUCUUAACCAGACCAUAUUCUGAUCUUUAGUAAGUAUUGUAUUCCUACUUACAUGAAUUGGAGCUCGCCCUGUUGAAGAUCCUUAUGUUAUUACAGGACAAAUCCUAACCGUACUUUAUUUCUCAUAUUACAUUAUUAACCCACUCACCCUCAUCUGGUGAGAUAAAAUACUAGAUUA
RNAcentral lists this unclassified non-coding RNA (1136 nucleotides) under Penaeus japonicus. Its description in RNAcentral is "cytochrome b". The record is from RNAcentral. Lineage: Eukaryota; Metazoa; Arthropoda; Malacostraca; Decapoda; Penaeidae.